AGAGUUUGAUCCUGGCUCAGAACGAACGCUGGCGGCGUGCUUAACACAUGCAAGUCGUGCGAGAAAAUCUUCUUCGGAGGAAGAGUAAAGCGGCGCACGGGUGAGUAACGCGUGGGUAAUCUACCCCCGAGUUUGGGAUAACUCCGCGAAAGCGGUGCUAAUACCGGAUGUGACCACAGUUACCUCGGUGACAGUGGUAAAAGGUGGCCUCUCCAUGGAAGCUAUCGCUUGGGGACGAGCCCGCGUCCUAUCAGCUUGUUGGUAGGGUAAUGGCCUACCAAAGCUGAGACGGGUAGCUGGUCUGAGAGGACGAUCAGCCACACUGGGACUGAGACACGGCCCAGACUCCUACGGGAGGCAGCAGUGGGGAAUAUUGCGCAAUGGGGGAAACCCUGACGCAGCGACGCCGCGUGGGUGGUGAAGGCCUUCGGGUUGUAAAGCCCUGUUAGGUGGGAAGAAAUUCCCUAUGGGUAAUAUCCAUAGGGAUUGACGGUACCACCAGAGGAAGCACCGGCUAACUCCGUGCCAGCAGCCGCGGUAAUACGGAGGGUGCAAGCGUUGUUCGGAAUUACUGGGCGUAAAGCGGGUGUAGGCGGUCGGGCAAGUCGGAUGUGAAAGCCCUCGGCUCAACUGAGGAAGUGCAUUCGAAACUGCUCGACUUGAGUAUGGGAGAGGAAGGUGGAAUUCUCGGUGUAGCGGUGACAUGCGUAGAUAUCGAGAGGAACACCGGUGGCGAAGGCGGCCUUCUGGCCCAAUACUGACGCUGAGACCCGAAAGCGUGGGGAGCAAACAGAAUUAGAUACCCUGGUAGUCCACGCCGUAAACGUUGGGUACUAGGUGUGGGAGGCUUUAUACUUUCCGUGCCGGAGCUAACGCAUUAAGUACCCCGCCUGGGGAGUACGGCCGCAAGGCUAGAACUCAAAGGAAUUGGCGGGGACCCGCACAAGCAGCGGAGCGUGUGGUUUAAUUCGAUGCUACACGAAGAACCUUACCAGGGCUUGACAUAAUGGUGGUAGGGAUCCGAAAGGUGACCGACCCUUCGGGGAGCCAUUACAGGUGCUGCAUGGCUGUCGUCAGCUCGUGUCGUGAGAUGUCCGGUUAAGUCCGGUAACGAGCGCAACCCUUACUGUAUGUUACAAGUGUCAUACAGGACUGCCGGCUUAAGGCCGGAGGAAGGCGGGGAUGACGUCAAGUCAGCAUGGCCUUUAUGUCCUGGGCUACACACACGCUACAAUGGUCAGUACAAUGGGUCGCAAAACCGCGAGGUGGAGCCAAUCCUCAAAGCUGGCCUCAGUUCAGAUUGCAGGCUGCAGCCCGCCUGCAUGAAGCUGGAGUUGCUAGUAACCGCGCGUCAGCUAUAGUGCGGUGAAUACGUUCCCGGGUCUUGCACACACCGCCCGUCACGUCAUGGAAGCUGGCAACACCUGAAGUCGGUAUCCUAACCGCAAGGAAGGAGCCGCCGAAGGUGGGGUUGGUGACUGGGACGAAGUCGUAACAAGGUAACC
Molecule: ribosomal RNA, 1505 nt
Filed under: uncultured bacterium
Lineage: Bacteria
Description: partial 16S ribosomal RNA
Rfam family: Bacterial small subunit ribosomal RNA
Source: RNAcentral